This 241-nucleotide ribosomal RNA is filed under the name uncultured bacterium. Its description in RNAcentral is "partial 16S ribosomal RNA". It matches the Rfam family "Bacterial small subunit ribosomal RNA", at positions 536 to 776 of the family's 1533-position model. The record is from RNAcentral.
AAGCGUUGUUCGGAAUUACUGGGCGUAAAGGGCUCGUAGGCGGCCAACUAAGUCAUACGUGAAAUCCCUCAGCUUAACUGGGGAACUGCGUGUGAUACUGGAUGGCUUGGAUUUGGGAGAGGGAUGCGGAAUUCCAGGUGUAGCGGUGAAAUGCGUAGAUAUCAGGAAGAACACCUAUGGCGAAGGCAGCUCUCUGGGACGGUACUGACGCUGAGACGCGAAAGCGUGGGGAGCGAACAGG